GUGGGGAAUUUUGGACAAUGGGCGCAAGCCUGAUCCAGCAAUGCCGCGUGCAGGAUGAAGGCCUUCGGGUUGUAAACUGCUUUUGUACGGAACGAAAAGCCCUGGGUUAAUACCCUGGGCUAAUGACGGUACCGUAAGAAUAAGCACCGGCUAACUACGUGCCAGCAGCCGCGGUAAUACGUAGGGUGCAAGCGUUAAUCGGAAUUACUGGGCGUAAAGAGUGCGCAGGCGGUUUUGUAAGACAGGCGUGAAAUCCCCGGGCUCAACCUGGGAAUUGCGCUUGUGACUGCAAGGCUGGAGUGCGGCAGAGGGGGAUGGAAUUCCGCGUGUAGCAGUGAAAUGCGUAGAUAUGCGGAGGAACACCGAUGGCGAAGGCAAUCCCCUGGGCCUGCACUGACGCUCAUGCACGAAAGCGUGGGGAGCAAACAGGAUUAGAUACCCUGGUAGUCC
Molecule: ribosomal RNA, 450 nt
Filed under: uncultured bacterium
Lineage: Bacteria
Description: partial 16S ribosomal RNA
Rfam family: Bacterial small subunit ribosomal RNA
Source: RNAcentral